Molecule: ribosomal RNA, 497 nt
Filed under: uncultured bacterium
Lineage: Bacteria
Description: partial 16S ribosomal RNA
Rfam family: Bacterial small subunit ribosomal RNA
Source: RNAcentral
GACGAACGCUGGCGGCGUGCCUAAUACAUGCAAGUUGAGCGCUGAAGGUUGGUACUUGUACCAACUGGAUGAGCAGCGAACGGGUGAGUAACGCGUGGGGAAUCUGCCUUUGAGCGGGGAACAACAUUUGGAAACGAAUGCUAAUACCGCAUAAAAACUUUAAACACAAGUUUUAAGUUUGAAAGAUGCAAUUGCAUCACUCAAAGAUGAUCCCGCGUUGUAUUAGCUAGUUGGUGAGGUAAAGGCUCACCAAGGCGAUGAUACAUAGCCGACCUGAGAGGGUGAUCGGCCACAUUGGGACUGAGACACGGCCCAAACUCCUACGGGAGGCAGCAGUAGGGAAUCUUCGGCAAUGGACGAAAGUCUGACCGAGCAACGCCGCGUGAGUGAAGAAGGGUUUUGGAUCGUAAAACUCUGUUGGUAGAGAAGAACGUUGGUGAGAGUGGAAAGCUCAUCAAGUGACGGUAACUACCCAGAAAGGGACGGCUAACUACGUG